GAUGAACGCUGGCGGCGUGCUUAACACAUGCAAGUCGAACGGAAAGGCCCAGGCUUGCUUGGGUACUCGAGUGGCGAACGGGUGAGUAACACGUGGGUGAUCUGCCCUGCACUUCGGGAUAAGCCUGGGAAACUGGGUCUAAUACCGGAUAGGACCACAUUUUGGAUGGUGUGGUGGAAAGUUUUUCGGUGUGGGAUGAGCUCGCGGCCUAUCAGCUUGUUGGUGGGGUAAUGGCCUACCAAGGCGUCGACGGGUAGCCGGCCUGAGAGGGUGUACGGCCACAUUGGGACUGGGAUACGGCCCAGACUCCUACGGGAGGCAGCAGUGGGGAAUAUUGCACAAUGGGGGCAAGCCUGAUGCAGCGACGCCGCGGGGGGGAUGACGGCCUUCGGGUUGUAAACUCCUUUCGCUAGGGACGAAGCGUUAUGUGACGGUACCUGGAGAAGAAGCACCGGCUAACUACGUG
Molecule: ribosomal RNA, 466 nt
Filed under: uncultured bacterium
Lineage: Bacteria
Description: partial 16S ribosomal RNA
Rfam family: Bacterial small subunit ribosomal RNA
Source: RNAcentral